GUGAAUCAUCGAAUUUUUGAACGCAAAUUGCGCUUCUUGGUAUUCCGGGAAGUAUGCCUGUUUGAGGGUCAGUAUUCACAAAAAAUCGGUUUGCUCGCAAAUUGUGCCGUUUCCGGGGUGUGGGCUUAUCUUAAAUUUUCUGGUUAAGGAGCUUAAAAUUGACCUUUUUUGUGCAUUUUUAGUCGACCAAAAAUUUUUUUUUAUUCGUCUAUUCUUCAUGCCAAACUCUUACUA
This 234-nucleotide unclassified non-coding RNA is filed under the name Glomeraceae sp. RNAcentral describes it as "partial contains 5.8S ribosomal RNA and internal transcribed spacer 2". The stretch from base 1 to 71 matches the Rfam family "5.8S ribosomal RNA", at positions 84 to 154 of the family's 154-position model. Lineage: Eukaryota; Fungi; Glomeromycota; Glomeromycetes; Glomerales; Glomeraceae. The record is from RNAcentral.